UACGGAGGGGGCUAGCGUUGUUCGGAAUUACUGGGCGUAAAGCGCACGUAGGCGGCUUUGUAAGUUAGAGGUGAAAGCCCGGAGCUCAAUUCCGGAACUGCCUUUAAGACUGCAUCGCUUGAACGUCGGAGAGGUAAGUGGAAUUCCGAGUGUAGAGGUGAAAUUCGUAGAUAUUCGGAAGAACACCAGUGGCGAAGGCGACUUACUGGACGACUGUUGACGCUGAGGUGCGAAAGCGUGGGGAGCAAACAGG
Molecule: ribosomal RNA, 253 nt
Filed under: uncultured bacterium
Lineage: Bacteria
Description: partial 16S ribosomal RNA
Rfam family: Bacterial small subunit ribosomal RNA
Source: RNAcentral